RNAcentral lists this ribosomal RNA (407 nucleotides) under uncultured bacterium. RNAcentral describes it as "bacterial SSU rRNA". It matches the Rfam family "Bacterial small subunit ribosomal RNA", at positions 28 to 416 of the family's 1533-position model. The record is from RNAcentral.
AAUCAACGCUGGCGGCGUGCCUAACACAUGCAAGUCGAACGCGAAAGCCCCUUCGGGGGCGAAGUAGAGUGGCGUCCGGGUGAGUAACACGUGGGUAAUCUACCUCCGGGUGGGGAAUAAACUCGCCGAAAGGUGGGCUAAUACCGCAUAAUGCAGCGGCACCGAAUGGUGAUUAGUUGUUAAAGCGGGGGACCGUUAGGGCCUCGCGUCUGGAGAGGAGCCUGCGGCAGAUUAGCUUGUUGGUAGGGAAUGGCCUACCAAGGCUGCGAUCUGUAGCUGGUCUGAGAGGACGGCCAGCCACACUGGCACUGACACACGGGCCGAGACUCCUACGGGAGGCAGCAGUGGGGAAUCUUGCGCAAUGGGCGAAAGCCUGACGCAGCGACGCCGCGUGAGGGAUGACGGCC